UACAGAGGUGGCAAGCGUUGUUCGGAAUUACUGGGCGUAAAGGGCGCGUAGGCGGCCCGGCGCGUCCGCGGUGAAAGCUCCCGGCUCAACUGGGAGAGGUCCGCGGAAACGGUCGGGCUGGAGCAAGGUAGGGGGUCGUGGAAUUCCCGGUGUAGUGGUGGAAUGCGUAGAGAUCGGGAGGAACACCAGUGGCGAAGGCGGCGACCUGGACCUGUGCUGACGCUGAGGCGCGAAAGCGUGGGGAGCGAUCCGG
This 253-nucleotide ribosomal RNA is filed under the name uncultured bacterium. RNAcentral's name for it is "partial 16S ribosomal RNA". It matches the Rfam family "Bacterial small subunit ribosomal RNA", at positions 524 to 776 of the family's 1533-position model. The record is from RNAcentral.